GUUUAUAUGUCGGUUGCUUAUGUUUUUAGGGCCUUCUGUCCGGUUAUCAUUUUGAAGAUGUUGUCACAGUGAGUGGAGAGGAGGAAAACCUCGGCAGAGGGAUGCUGGGUGGUGAGAAGCUCAGAUCGUUCCAGACUCCAGAGCCAGUAAUGAGAGAUAAGUAAUGUUGAUAGACUAGUGGUAAUGCCAGUGACACAAGAGCCUGGACCAGCAAUGAAUGGAGGUAUGGCUCAAGGGUCAAGGGUCGCUGACCCCGAAGAACCAAACCAGCAACAUCGUGUUGGUAUUCAUGUUAGCGUGGUGGAGAACAACGCUGCCCGAGAAGGCAUUACCUUAGAAUCCUGCUUGGCGAGGGCGCAACAAACAAUCGACAUGAAAUGUGUGGUGUUUGGAAUAGUUGUUAUAAUUCUUGGAGCAGCUGUACGAAUCUUUUUCUACGGAGGAUCCACGAGUGGACUCACCUUCAUUUUUACGGCAGUGGGUGUCAUUAUGAUGGUGGUGGCGGCAUUCAUCUUUUACACCAAAACUGCGGGUGAGCGCCGGUCGCCGGAGCGCCCGAGCUACACCUCGGCGGAUGGCCCGUCUGUGAUCCACGUUCCGCCUGUGAUCCAUGUUCCGCCCGUGGUUCAUGUUCCGCCCGUGAUCCCCGCUCCGCCUGCGAGCGGUGGUCGAGACAGUCCGCCGCCAGACUACAGCUCGGUGAUGACGGACAGACAGACUGACCCGCCGCCGCCCUACACUGAAACAGUGGCUGAUGGUAACAGGGAGGUGCGCAAAGAGUGAAUAAGGCCUGACUGCCUUACCGUCUAGCAGAAGUCAAUGGUGCUAACAGAGAGGUGCGCAAAGAAUGGCUUAUGGCCUGACUGACUUACGGUCUAAUAGUGGCCGAUGGUGCUAAGUGCUAACAGCCGGGUGCGAAAGGAAUGGCUAAUGACCUGACUGCCUUACGGUUUAACAAAGGCCAGCAGAGAGGUUUAUAAGGAAGGAAUGAAAAACGGCCAGGUACAGUCUGCCGGUGACCACAGAUUGAGACGGGGGAUCCGUAUCCGUAAGAAGUGAGGCGAUGUCGUUUUACAGUCGGCACUGUAGACAAUAAGCUGAUGAAGACGUCUGUUUUGGACUGAGAUCUGACCGCGGCAUCCCUGCAGCCUGCAGCCUGACAUAGUGUUGACUACCUUAUGGAGACAAGAAGCACUAAUGAAGUAAGAUCUGACCGUCACCGAUGGCGGCUACCAAAGAGGCCAGUGAAUUUCUGUGCACUUGAUCAUGUAGAUCGGGGAUAUGUGAGCCAGAUGUAACGUUUUGUACAUAUUACGAGUACAUGCGGAAUGUGGCUAUCGUAUACCUCUUUAGACUAGUCUAGACCUAUUGUGCCUGGGCCAGACAAAGCCAGACCGGUGUGCUUUAAUCUUGUUCUGAUUGUGAUAUAAAGCGCCAGUGCUGCUUAUCUCAACUGCCUUUAUUAGAAAUGUUAUGUAGUCACUGUCCAACAACUUUUACAGCUUUAUCGUCUCGAUCACCAAGCGAAGCAUCUUUUUUAUGUCGCGUGAGAUGCGUGGAGUAAGGUGUUUUGUUGAAUGGGACGUAUGAUGUCAUGCUGCGUGUCGAGAUACCGAGCAAUAAUCGAGUGCCGGAUUUAUGCCCCCUGCAUUUACCAGAGCCUUGCCGGUGUCCAGAAGCACACGGAGAUAAAAACUGUGAUUGUCUUAGAUGUGAUGCGCUUUGAGCAGCUUAAUACACUAUCUUUUCAGUGA
Molecule: long non-coding RNA, 1754 nt
Organism: Amphibalanus amphitrite
Lineage: Eukaryota; Metazoa; Arthropoda; Thecostraca; Balanomorpha; Balanidae
Exons: 2
Source: RefSeq, a predicted model, not a curated record